AGGAAGCUCAGUUUAAAACCAAAGCAGGCUUAGUUUCACGUUUUGUAGCCCUUCUGCACAACAGCAACUGUGAAUCUACUUGAUCCUGUACCCGGAAGAAGAGCUUAUCAUAAAGUACAGCUUCCACUUAAAGGCUGGAGAACGAGCUGUGAUGUGGAAAUCCACUGUCACCUCCCCACGUGCCAUGCCUCGCCCUGGGAACUGUGCGAGGAGUUCCGUGGUGUUGGGACAAACGUCUUUGGCCACCCAAGCUGCUUUUAUGGGUUUCUACGUUUUGGAGCCUAGAAGGACCAAGAGGUGUUGGGAACAGGGAAUGAGAAUGGCCGGCCGGCCAAGCCAGAUCUUUUGCAGCUGGAAGAGGAAAGGAUUCAAACUGCUGAGCAAAUAGAGAAGAAAUAAAGAAGGGACUAUCUGA
Long non-coding RNA from Pipra filicauda (Wire-tailed manakin), 415 nucleotides. RefSeq lists it as uncharacterized. The record is from RefSeq and is a predicted model, not a curated record. The transcript has 3 exons. Lineage: Eukaryota; Metazoa; Chordata; Aves; Passeriformes; Pipridae.